GACAGAGGGUGCAAGCGUUGUUCGGAAUUACUGGGCGUAAAGGGCGCGUAGGCUGAUAUAUAAGUUGGAUGUGAAAUGCCAGGAGUAAAACUUGGAACUGCAUUCAAGACUGUAUAUCUGGAGUAUCGGAGAGGGAAGCGGAAUUCCUGGUGUAGAGGUGAAAUUCGUAGAUAUCAGGAGGAACACCGGAGGCGAAGGCGGCUUCCUGGCCGGAGACUGACGCUGAGGCGCGAAAGCGUGGGUAGCAAAC
Molecule: ribosomal RNA, 250 nt
Filed under: uncultured prokaryote
Description: partial 16S ribosomal RNA
Rfam family: Bacterial small subunit ribosomal RNA
Source: RNAcentral